AACGCGUAUGCAAUCUACCUUUUGCAGAGGGAUAGCCCAGAGAAAUUUGGAUUAAUACCUCAUAGUAUAUAGAGUUGGCAUCAACACUAUAUUAAAGUCACAACGGCAAAAGAUGAGCAUGCGUCCCAUUAGCUAGAUGGUAAGGUAACGGCUUACCAUGGCAACGAUGGGUAGGGGUCCUGAGAGGGAGAUCCCCCACACUGGUACUGAGACACGGACCAGACUCCUACGGGAGGCAGCAGUGAGGAAUAUUGGUCAAUGGGCGCAAGCCUGAACCAGCCAUGCCGCGUGCAGGAUGACGGUCCUAUGGAUUGUAAACUGCUUUUGUACGAGAAGAAACACUACUUCGUGAAGUAGCUUGACGGUAUCGUAAGAAUAAGGAUCGGCUAACUCCGUGCCAGCAGCCGCGGUAAUACGGAGGAUCCAAGCGUUAUCCGGAAUCAUUGGGUUUAAAGGGUCCGUAGGCGGUUUAGUAAGUCAGUGGUGAAAGCCCAUCGCUCAACGCGGGAACGGCCAUUGAUACUGCUAAACUUGAAUUAUUAGGA
RNAcentral lists this ribosomal RNA (545 nucleotides) under uncultured bacterium. Its description in RNAcentral is "bacterial SSU rRNA". It matches the Rfam family "Bacterial small subunit ribosomal RNA", at positions 112 to 655 of the family's 1533-position model. The record is from RNAcentral.